RNAcentral lists this ribosomal RNA (468 nucleotides) under uncultured bacterium. Its description in RNAcentral is "partial 16S ribosomal RNA". It matches the Rfam family "Bacterial small subunit ribosomal RNA", at positions 28 to 507 of the family's 1533-position model. The record is from RNAcentral.
GACGAACGCUGGCGGCGCGCCUAACACAUGCAAGUCGAACGGAGUCACGAGGAGCUUGCUUUUCUUGACUUAGUGGCGAACGGGUGAGUAACGCGUGAGUAACCUGCCCUGGAGUGGGGGACAACAGUUGGAAACGACUGCUAAUACCGCAUAAGCCCACGGAUCCGCAUGGAUCUGCGGGAAAAGGAUUUAUUCGCUUCAGGAUGGACUCGCGUCCAAUUAGCUAGUUGGUGAGGUAACGGCCCACCAAGGCGACGAUUGGUAGCCGGCCUGAGAGAUUGGGCGGACACAUUGCGACUGAGACACGGCCCAGACUCCUACGGGAGGCAGCAGUGGGGGAUAUUGCACAAUGGGGGAAACCCUGAUGCAGCGACGCCGCGUGGAGGAAGAAGGUUUUCGGAUUGUAAACUCCUGUCGUUAGGGACGAUAAUGACGGUACCUAACAAGAAAGCACCGGCUAACUACGUG